GAAACGCGAACCAAGCGGCAGCCCUCAACCGGGCGGCGUGAGACUUGGAGCGGAUAUUGGCAACAAUAUCCUG
RNAcentral lists this small RNA (73 nucleotides) under Bifidobacterium pullorum subsp. gallinarum. RNAcentral's name for it is "Transposase-2 RNA". It matches the Rfam family "Transposase-2 RNA". The record is from RNAcentral. Lineage: Bacteria; Bacillati; Actinomycetota; Actinomycetes; Bifidobacteriales; Bifidobacteriaceae.